RNAcentral lists this long non-coding RNA (1148 nucleotides) under Physcomitrium patens. RNAcentral's name for it is "long non-coding RNA (PPAT_LNC003670)". The record is from RNAcentral. Lineage: Eukaryota; Viridiplantae; Streptophyta; Bryopsida; Funariales; Funariaceae.
CUAAUACACAUCCAACUUACAAGACACAUGUCUAAUUUACAAGGCAAGUUUCUUAGGUUUGUGCCAUAUGUCCAACUUAUACUAUAAGUGGUCAACAUGUCAAUACGUGGCCUUCUUCUUGGCCAAGUUUUCAACCUACCAAUUACCUAUAGAAAUGUAUAAACUUUAGACCAAAAACUAAUUAAAUCUAAAAUCCUAAAAAAAUCUUAAUAAAAUUCUAAAUCCUAAAUCAAAUCCUAAUCAAAUCUUAAACUCUAAAUCAAUUCCUAACCGAAUCCUAAUCCUAAAUCAAAUCCUAAAUCCUAAAUCAAAUCCUAACCAAAUCCUAAAUGUUAAACUAAAUCCUAAUUAAACUCUAAAUCCUAAAUCAAAUCCUAACCAAUUCCUAAUCUUAAAUCAUAUCCUAACCAAACCCUAAAUUCUAAACCAAAUCCUAACCAAAUUCUAAUCCUAAAUCAAAUCCUAACCAAACCCUAAAUACUAAAUAGACCCUAGUAAUUUCUACAACAGAUUUAAACCUCAAUAAAUAAUGAAUGAACCAUUGAUCUUAACUCAAAAAUUUCACACUUUUUAAUGCUUAAGUUGAAAACAAGCAUACAAAAUUUUAAAAGGAUUGAAAUUACUAAAUAGAUAAUAACCUCAAAAAUGUGCUUAGGUAUUGCCCAACCUCCUUCUUCAAUCUUAAUACCAACCUUCUAGAGCCAAUAUCUUUCUUUUUCACCAUUCGAUUGAUCUCAAAAUUAUCAUACAUAUAAGAAAAUAAGUCUACUAUCUUUAUCUAUAAAUUUCACUUCAAUUCAAAUAGUAGAUUGCAAGAAAUCUUAAAAACCCUCACAAGACUUAAAAUUCUACUUUCUGAGACCUUGACCCCCUUAAACCUCAAUAAUCCUCAAUUCAAUUGUUAGAUCAAGCUAAAAUUCACAACACAUAUUAAACAAAACUAUAACCAUUAAUCUACAAAAUUUCAUCUAUAGAUCUAUGACAAAACUCUUGAAAUUGCCAAAGACGUCAAUCCUAUUUUAUUUCACAAUAUCCAAGUCAUCUGAAAACAAACUUGACUUUGUAAAGCUCUUACAUAGUUAUUAUGAAUCCAAAUCAUACAAAAACAAUGCUCAUAGAAACCUUAUCUAGUCUGCUAUCAAAUCCUA